UACCCGAGUGGAUAUCGGUAGAGGCCAGGCGCUUGCAUGGCUACAUCAGAACCUCGGGCUGUGCAGAGUUCAUCUACAGGGUAAUCAGAUUACCCUUGAGGUAUUUCUUCUUUCAUCAUAGUUUUAGAUUUAAUUUUAGAUUUAAAAUAUCAGAUAAUAAGAUUAGAUCUAGAGAUUUAGAUUUAAAAUACAUGUAGGAUAAAAAUUUUUAAAUUUAUUCCACCCC
Molecule: long non-coding RNA, 226 nt
Filed under: Elaeis guineensis (African oil palm)
Lineage: Eukaryota; Viridiplantae; Streptophyta; Magnoliopsida; Arecales; Arecaceae
Description: long non-coding RNA (EGUI_LNC075661)
Source: RNAcentral